This 2727-nucleotide long non-coding RNA is filed under the name Solanum tuberosum (potato). Its description in RNAcentral is "long non-coding RNA (STUB_LNC002246)". The record is from RNAcentral. Lineage: Eukaryota; Viridiplantae; Streptophyta; Magnoliopsida; Solanales; Solanaceae.
GCCGCAUAAAAUUCAAGGAAUUGGUGCUGGUUUCAUCUCAGCCGUCCUCGAUCAAAGCAUCCUGGAUGGAGUUCUUCAAGUAAGGCUGUAUACCAUAUAAGUAGCUCUGAGAUUCUACAAACAUUUAAAUUUCUGCUCAAUGUGAGUGAGAUUUUGCUAUAAAAACCUGAAUAUCUUACAAAUGACUCUAACCAGGUGAUGAAUCUGCUAUACUCUGACUGACAAUUUCAAUUCGGUUAAUAUAAAACUAACGCAUUCACGACUCACAGAAGCAGAGAUAUGAAGUAUGCGAACAUAGACUAGAUUGCUUUGUAGGGUAAAGUUAGAUAUAUCCUUUUGUUGACAGAAUUGUCUGAAUCUCCAGAAUAAUCGUGGCUUUUCAAUGUAAAAGUUUCCAGCUUACUCUAUCUCUGAAACAUAUCCAUCUGAUUUAGUUUAUUAACAGAUCAAAGUAAAUUCAUUAUAGGUUUUCUUAUUUUCCAUGUUUGGUUGGUCAAAAUUUUUGGUAAACAUUUUGUUUAGGAAAACAAGUUGCUUAAAAAUAAGGAGAACGACUUUCCUAAUGGAAUUAGGGAAAACAAGUUUCACAAGUGGUAUUCUAUAUUGAGUGUGUCCUGUCCUCCCCACGCUCCAACACACCUCAUCUUCACCCCAACCUCCAUAGCCCCCAGCCUCACCACCCCACACUAUUACCUGUCUCACUGCCCAUAGUAUUUGACUUAGAUUAUAUACAAAUGGUUUUAGGAUAGUAUACAUACCGAGCACAAGAAAAUUAGUAAGAAACCACUUAUUUUCCUUCCUUUAUACCGAACACACCCUUAGUGUCCUCUUGUAUGUUUCUAAAGCUGUUGAUUUUUUGGUUCACUGGCUAUAUUUCCUGGUAUGAUGGCAGCUUCUGCUUUUAUUUAUGUUCAGGUAUCUAGUGAUGAAGCUAUUGAAAUGACAAAGCUUCUUGCAUUGAAAGAAGGCCUGCUGGUAAGUUCACCCGUCAAUAAAGAUCACUUCUGCAUGUGUCCUCUGCUUCAUUUGUGAUGUCCGUUCUGAUAUCAUUACGAUUAUAUGCCCUUUUUCUCCUGGAAUAUUUUCAGGUAGGAAUAUCAUCAGGUGCUGCAGCUGCUGCAGCAAUUCAAGUAGCAAAAAAGCCAGAAAAUGCUGGGAAACUUAUUGCGGUAAGUUAGAUCUACUUCAUUAAGCUUAUUGAUAUCUAUUUCAUCUCUUAACUUGGGAAUCCUUGAUGAGUUCAUGGUUCCAAUUUUGCAAAUGAACUUUGGCCUAAACUUCUCUUUCAAUUCUCUGUGCAGGUCAUCUUCCCUAGUUUUGGGGAGCGUUAUCUUUCCACUGUGCUGUUUGAUUCUAUUAGAGAAGAGGUGGUGAACAUGACUUUUGAGUAACUUAAUGCUUCUUUAAACUGAGGGAUACAUGUUUACUCCUAUUUGUUGUAACUUGAGAUGGGAAAGAUCACUCAAGUGUAACCCCCUAAUAAAUCAGUGAACUAUUAUUAAUUCGCAAUACAAAUAUUUGUAUCUUUUGAAUGGUGUAACCGCUGUUUCUAUAUAUUUAGCCCUUCGUUCAGCCAACAAACAAGUAGGAUUUUUCAAUGGCAUAGUUAAUUGAGAAAGGCUUAAUUCCAUCAUGUAGCGUCGUCAAACAAACGUAUUAUUCUUUCUAUCGUUUGCAUAUAUAAUUGGGCUCUUAAGCAGUUUAAGGUAUGUAAUGUCAACGAUUUUGAAAUUGUUCUAAAAAAAACUCACUUUUUUGUCAACUGGACUAUAGCCUAACCAUAAUCCUUAUAUUUCAGAAUGGUCCACAUAUAAUUAUUACAAUGUCUAUAUAUUUAUAGUGUUUGGUCUAAAACUAAGGAAGUACUUGACUUUAGAACUAAAGAUCAAAUAGUGCUUCUUUAAAAACUCUUUAAAAAUGAAAUUAGUUGAUUAAAAAGAAUACUUAAAAUACAUUACGUUUUAAAAAAAAAAAAAUACAUUACGUAUUAAUUUUUACGAAAUUAAAAUAAAUAAAUAUAUAUAGGUUCGGAUUCAACAUGUGUACAUAGAAGGUAAUACUUUGGCUGAUUAUUUAGCUAAUUUGGCUUUUGAUAAUCUAGGUAGACUUGUUUAUAAUUCUUUUAUAGAAUUACCAAGACAGGCUAGGAAAAUCGUAAACCUAGACAAGCAACAUUUUCCUACGUUAAGAAUCAGAACAAAGAAAAUAGAUCAAAAGAGGGAUGGGGGACAAGAAAAUGCAGUGACAUUGAUCACAUGAGAACUACCAGAAUUAUAAGCAACAUAUCAAACAUCGAGAAUAGUACAAUCCAAGAUACUCAAAUGAGUCACACGUGUCGAUUUUCAAAGAAGUUGAUCUCAACUAACAAUUUCAUCAACAAUAUUAUAGAACUUUACAGAUCUAGUGGCAGAGCUUUACAAUGCAAAAAAGGGAUACAAUUUUUAUUAGUACAAGAAGAGAUGAUCAUAAGUCGAUUUAGAACUUACAAAGGAAGGUUCUGCAGCAAAACGUUACGGAAAAAUAUUUUUGAAUGGCUGAGUUCAUGGCAACAACCUUUGCACUUCAAGGAAGACGGACAGUUAGAGGAGGAAGAUAGGAAGAGCAAUCAAGGUUUAGAGGGAAUAAAAACUCACCAUUCUUUGGUCUGGUCUCGGAUGGAAUUUGAUGGAGACUUCCCAAAUUUGCAGAAAAAGAGGGCUAUUUAGAGCUUUCCUAGUAGACUUGCCC